UACGUAGGGUGCGAGCGUUAAUCGGAAUUACUGGGCGUAAAGCGCACGUAGGUGGCUUUGCAAGUCGAUUGUGAAAUCCCCGGGCUUAACCUGGGAACUGCAGUCGAGACUGCUUUGCUUGAGUAUGGGAGAGGGAGGUGGAAUUUCCGGUGUAGCGGUGAAAUGCGUAGAUAUCGGAAGGAACAUCAGUGGCGAAGGCGACCUCCUGGACCAAUACUGACACUCAAGUGCGAAGGCGUGGGGAGCAAACAGG
This 253-nucleotide ribosomal RNA is filed under the name uncultured bacterium. RNAcentral describes it as "partial 16S ribosomal RNA". It matches the Rfam family "Bacterial small subunit ribosomal RNA", at positions 524 to 776 of the family's 1533-position model. The record is from RNAcentral.